GUGAGCCGUAUGAGGGAAAACCUCACGUACGGUUCUAGAGGCGGGUAAUGGAAAUGUAGCAAUAGCUGGCACGCCAU
This 77-nucleotide non-coding RNA is filed under the name Acetivibrio alkalicellulosi. The record is from RNAcentral. Lineage: Bacteria; Bacillati; Bacillota; Clostridia; Acetivibrionales; Acetivibrionaceae.